UGCGACUCGUCUAAAAAUUCGUCCUCGUUGGAACCAGUUGACGUUAUUCGCAAGCGGCAUCGGAUGUUAGAAUUAUGAAUUUCCCUACGAAUAGAAAAUAAAAUUGCCGUUUUCUUCAUCGAUCGCAGAACUAGAUUUGAUUUUACAGGGAUGAUCGCAACUGGAGCGAAAAAACCGAAGUGAAUUUCCGAAGUAACGCAUCGUAUUCCUGCUCCGAGCUGUACCGCCACCUAUAUUUGUGGAAUAGAAACGGCGGUAACGUGUUAAUAACACUUGAAGGGCAACCAGAGCUUUCGCAGCUGUUCGUACUUUCGUUUGUUACUCCGCAGGAUGAUGCCUCGGGACGAUGGCGUGUACGAACGGGAGCAUUUCGCCAUCGCUCCUCGUCCAUGCAUACAAAUAAAUCUAUGAAUCUCAUACGGCGAGCUGGUGUAUUUUACGCAGCAUUUCAUACCCCCUGAUAUCGAGACACGCAUGAGGCACGAAUAAGCGUCUGACGCAUAUAAACCCGUUUGUGUGUUCAGGGCGCAGGGAAGCCAUCGCCGCACGAGCAUGUCGCGUGCCCGCGUGUCACCGACUCCGUUCGUUCGUCGGCGAAAUUAAAUUGCGAGUUGUCGUUAG
Molecule: unclassified non-coding RNA, 621 nt
Filed under: Athalia rosae (coleseed sawfly)
Lineage: Eukaryota; Metazoa; Arthropoda; Insecta; Hymenoptera; Athaliidae
Description: misc RNA ENSAEAG00005000605.1
Source: RNAcentral